RNAcentral lists this ribosomal RNA (422 nucleotides) under uncultured bacterium. RNAcentral describes it as "bacterial SSU rRNA". It matches the Rfam family "Bacterial small subunit ribosomal RNA", at positions 362 to 775 of the family's 1533-position model. The record is from RNAcentral.
UCUUCUGCAAUGGACGAGAGUCUGACGGAGCAACGCCGCGUGAGUGAUGAAGGUUUUCGGAUCGUAAAGCUCUGUUGUUAGGGAAGAACAAGUGCCGUUGAAAUAUGGCGGCACCUUGACGGUACCUAACCAGAAAGCCCCGGCUAACUACUUGCCAGCAGCCGCGGUAAUACGUAGGUGGCAAGCGUUGUCCGGAAUUAUUGGGCGUAAAGGGCGCGCAGGCGGUUUCUUAAGUCUGAUGUGAAAGCCCCCGGCUCAACCGGGGAGGGUCAUUGGAAACUGGGGAACUUGAGUGCAGAAGAGGAGAGUGGAAUUCCACGUGUAGCGGUGAAAUGCGUAGAGAUGUGGAGGAACACCAGUGGCGAAGGCGACUCUCUGGUCUGUAACUGACGCUGAGGAGCGAAAGCGUGGGGAGCGAACAG